CACCCGCCGCCAACCCUUGGACCCAAAGGGACACAGAACCGGGCCUCUUGGGACAAACUAGGAGGAACGUAGGCCUUGGUGGGCAAGCUGAGGGGCACAGUGGGAAACCCCACCAAAAAUAGACCACAGGACUGGGGUGGAGGAUGCUGGGGGUGCGCUGCAGGCCUCUUCGGCCUCUGGCUCUGCUUGGCGCUGGGCCGGCCCAGCGUGAUGGCCACUCGGGCCUCCAGUGUCCCCCGGGGCCCAGAGCCUGGCAUCCGCAGGGCUCCGGACGGCGAUUUCUUGUGAGAACACGUCCAUGCCUGAACGCACCCUGAGCUGGAGGUGAACUUGGGCGCACUGGCUUCCUGCUGUACUUGGGCUUUCUUUCCGAAGCCAAAAAUAGCCCAAAUCAUGGUUUGCUUUUUAUACUUUUUUCUGUGACGGACCACAUUUGCAUAAAUUCCCACUGGGAAUUUCCCCCUUUCAAGGUUGACCGCGGUUUUAGCAUUUCGAGAGGCCUGUUCAUGAAGUCAGGGGAUUUACCAGAAAUGCACCUAGUGGCCACCCGACCCCCCCCCACCACCACCACCACCCUGCCCAGCACCCUGUAACACCAGAGCCUCAAGAGGCCUCAAAGUUCACACCUCUGGCCACUUUCUCAACCAUCCCAGAGGGAACCAGCCCUUAUGAGGUGGCUGAGAAAUGCCUUUCAUUUUCUCCGUACGGAAGGCCGUGUGUCUUGGGUUAAAGAGCAGUCUGGUAUCAGAACUGGUUUCCAAUGAUGGCUCUACCACUGCUGAGCUACAACCAUAACAAAAUCACCUUUAAGGAUGGAGUUUGGGGACGCUUAUUACGUUGUGAGGUUUGCAGCAGGCUGCUGCAGCUCUCCUGAUCCCUACAGAAGAAAUGAGAACACCUAGGAGGAUAGCUUACCAUCUUGGUUGAUCCUCCACACAUAAAGGAAGGAGAAGGCACAGCCUGCUGGACCAGGCCCCAGCUGUCUCUCAGAACUUCUGGGUUUAUACAAGAUCAAGCACAGUCCCAGGCCCAUGAGAGCAGAAUGACCUUCCAACCACAACCUCAGGAAACUAGACAGGAUACGAUGGCUGACAUCAGGACCUGAUACAAUGAUCAGUGACUUCCUACCCGGGCCCCACGCUAUCAGUAGAGCCCAGGACCCAACUCCAUCAGUCACCAUGAUUAAUGACUUUUCUCCUGUACACAGUCUGCCCCUGUGCGGGCCAUCGGGGAGCCAAGUCUAGCUUACCUGUGUCUCCAGGCUUGGCACCAUUCCCUUAAAUAAACCUCUAUUUUCUCUGCUGCAAACUCCUCUUCCCGUUUCAUUGGGCUUUGAUGUGUGCAAGCAAACGAACCUCUUUAGUCCGGUAACUGAUUGUCAGAGGAAUGAGACCAACUCAUUCUCCAUCUCGCUCAGAUCAUCUACCUGAGAAGAAGAUUGAUUUCUGAACUGUGUCAGCCUAUUUUUUAAGAAGUCUUCCCUAAAUCACAAAAAUGUCUCAAAAUGAACUUAGUUUCUCUUUUCUCAAACCAGGCCUCUCGGGGCUCUGGCAUUCUCUCAGCACCUCCUUACCUGCCUCCCACCUUUA
Molecule: long non-coding RNA, 1589 nt
Organism: Eptesicus fuscus (big brown bat)
Lineage: Eukaryota; Metazoa; Chordata; Mammalia; Chiroptera; Vespertilionidae
Exons: 6
Source: RefSeq, a predicted model, not a curated record